RNAcentral lists this long non-coding RNA (1756 nucleotides) under Marmota monax (woodchuck). Lineage: Eukaryota; Metazoa; Chordata; Mammalia; Rodentia; Sciuridae. The record is from RNAcentral.
CCCUGAGGUCCUGGUGGCCACUUGCCAUGCUGCCAUUCUCUGUGCACACCUUGGAGUUGAUGAAAGUCAGAACAGAAGGUGGCUUAAAGCAAACCCCUAGAGGUCCCUUUUCCCUAACCACACCAAGCUCAAAGCUGAUCUGACUCUGCUCACGUUGGUGCCACCUUCUGAGACUGUCUAAGGGGAGCAAUGGCAGGGGACUCCAGUAUCAUCCCUUUCUCUGUCCGAUUCUGAUACCAAAUGAAGACCACUUCAGCCCAAUGUGCUCCCCGUUCUCUGAGUGCUUUCCGCCAUUCCCUGGGGAUGAAGAAGGGGUGAGUUGCCUCCCCUCUCCGCCACACUUGUCUCUGAAGGAGCAGCAGGCCUCACACCUCUGCUGUCUUAGAGUGGAGAGGAGGCCUCUGGUGGGUGGACCUCCUUCUCCUCACACCUUCCUCAUCCAGAUGCACCGUGAUCCUACCCUCUAAGUCUGAUGAAUCCCUUCCAUUGUUUUUCCCAGUUUUUAAAAGUAAUUAUUGUUUUUUAGAUAGUGUCAAUUCACAUGCAACUGUAAGCAGUAAUACAGAGAUCUUUACCCAUGUCCCUCCGUGGGAACACCUUGAAGAACUGUAGGGACAGUAUCACCAGCAGGUUAUCGCCAAUGAUCUGAUCCACAUAUAGAAGACUGCAGUCACCAUAAGGGUCCCCUGUUGUCUUAGUCUAUUUUCUGUUGCUAUAAAGAAAUCCUGAGGCCAGGCAAUCAACGAAAAAUAGAAGUUUGUUUUGUCCCCAGCUCUGGAGGCAAUGGCACUAGCACCUGCUUGGCAUCUGGUGAGGGUCUUUUUCCUGCAUCAAGACAUGGCAGAAAGUUCCAUCACGGGGUGAUGGAGCAUGUAAGCUAGCUGGGGUCGCUCUUACUCUUCUUAAAAAGCCACUUCUGACAUCAUCACAGAGGCCCCACCCUUUGGACCUUCUCUACUCCUAGUCACCUGCAGAGGCCUCACCUCUGGGUAUCAUUAAGAGCAAAUGCAUUGGGGAUUCAGUUUCCCAUACAUCAACUUUUGGGAGACAGACAUUCAAACCAUAGCCCCUGUGCUUCCCUUGGUGGCCACACCGUUUAUUCCUCUGUCAUUCCUGUCCUCUCCUUUCACCUUCUUAGCCCCUGGCAACAUUUAAUCUGCUCUGCAUUCCUGUUAAUAAAGCUGCUACAAACAUCAGUGCACAGGCUGUUGUGUGAACCCCUUCUGCAGGAUGCCUUCAUCUCCCCCUAGAAGGCCAACAUCUUAGUGACCAUGGCCAAGAUGAAAUACUCAGAAAAAUAGCAACAAAAGAAAAUAACCAAAAUAGCACCCUCUGAGAUGCUAUUUUUCAAAGCUGAUUCUUAUAUACAUUCAUUUGCCUGCAUUAGAAAAUAUGAGGAAGGCAAUUUUCCAAUUGCAUAUACUAAAAAUAUCAUGUAACAAUAAUUAUAAAAAAUAAUUUUGCAUUUGGUGCUGCUGUCCAAGCAAAUAGCCAGGAAAGGGUGAAAGUCUCUGGGAAGACUGAGGUUGAUAAGUGAGAGAAGUUUGCUUUUCAUAUGUGAAAGAUUGAUACCGACUGUGUUGACCUGGCUGGUGCCCAGUGUUCAGGGAGAGCAGAGGUGCAGACAGAAAAUUUAUAACCUUGCUGGGUGCAGUGGCACACACACACACACACACACCUGCCUGCAAUCCCAGUGGUUCAGAAGGCUGAGGCAGGAGGAUUGCAAAUUCAAAGCCAGCCUCAGCAACUUAGCAAG